Molecule: ribosomal RNA, 274 nt
Filed under: uncultured bacterium
Lineage: Bacteria
Description: partial 16S ribosomal RNA
Rfam family: Bacterial small subunit ribosomal RNA
Source: RNAcentral
AUACGGAGGGUGCGAGCGUUAAUCGGAAUUACUGGGCGUAAAGCGUGCGUAGGUGGCUUGGUAAGUCGGAUGUGAAAGCCCUGGGCUCAACCUGGGAACUGCAUUCGAUACUGCCUAGCUAGAGUAUGGUAGAGGGAAGUGGAAUUUCCGGUGUAGCGGUGAAAUGCGUAGAUAUCGGAAGGAACACCAGUGGCGAAGGCGACUUGCUGGACUAAUACUGACGCUGAGGAGCGAAAGCGUGGGGAGCAAACGGGAUUAGAAACCCCGGUAGUCC